This 490-nucleotide ribosomal RNA is filed under the name uncultured bacterium. RNAcentral's name for it is "partial 16S ribosomal RNA". It matches the Rfam family "Bacterial small subunit ribosomal RNA", at positions 30 to 507 of the family's 1533-position model. The record is from RNAcentral.
AUUGAACGCUGGCGGCAGGCCUAACACAUGCAAGUCGAACGGUAACAGGAAGAAGCUUGCUUCUUUGCUGACGAGUGGCGGACGGGUGAGUAAUGUCUGGGAAACUGCCUGAUGGAGGGGGAUAACUACUGGAAACGGUAGCUAAUACCGCAUAACGUCGCAAGACCAAAGAGGGGGACCUUCGGGCCUCUUGCCAUCGGAUGUGCCCAGAUGGGAUUAGCUAGUAGGUGGGGUAACGGCUCACCUAGGCGACGAUCCCUAGCUGGUCUGAGAGGAUGACACGCCACACUGGAACUGAGACACGGUCCAGACUCCUACGGGAGGCAGCAGUGGGGAAUAUUGCACAAUGGGCGCAAGCCUGAUGCAGCCAUGCCGCGUGUAUGAAGAAGGCCUUCUGGUUGUAAAGUACUUUCAGCGGGGAGGAAGAGAGUAAAUUUAAUACCUUUACUCAUUGACGUUACCCGCAGAAGAAGCACCGGCUAACUCCGUG